This 1167-nucleotide long non-coding RNA is filed under the name Citrus maxima (pomelo). RNAcentral describes it as "long non-coding RNA (CMAX_LNC002831)". The record is from RNAcentral. Lineage: Eukaryota; Viridiplantae; Streptophyta; Magnoliopsida; Sapindales; Rutaceae.
GAAAACAUCCUUUAGCUAAUUUCUUGAUUCUCCUCUUGAACUUGGGUACGUUGCUAUCUUCUUUAGCAUGUCCAUAUUGCCCUUAUCCUACUCCUCCCCCUCCGUGUCCCCCAACAUUUCCACCAAAACACCCUCCACAUGUAAAGCCACCUUUCCACCCCAAACCACCGCAUCACAAGCCACCCCAUGUCAAACCACCGCACAAGCCCCCGUAUGUUCCUAAACCACCUUAUUCCCCAAGCCCUAAACCGCCUUACGUGCCAAAACCACCUCAUACUCCAGUCCCUAGGCCACCAUAUUUCCCCAAACCACCUUACACACCAAGGCCUAAGCCACCAUAUGCGCCAAAACCACCUUAUACGCCAACCCCUAAGCCACCAUAUUUCCCCAAACCACCUUACACACCAAGGCCGAAGCCACCAUAUGUGCCAAAACCACCUUAUACGCCAGCCCCUAAGCCACCAUAUUUUCCCAAACCACCUUACACACCAAGGCCUAAGCCACCAUAUGCACCAAAACCACCUUAUACGCCAACACCUAAGCCACCAUAUUUCCCCAAACCACCUUACACACCAAGGCCUAAGCCACCGUACGUGCCAAAACCACCGUACACACCAAGGCCUAAGCCACCGUACGUGCCAAAACCACCAUACACACCAACCCCUAAGCCACCGUACGUGCCAAAACCACCUUACACCCCAACCCCUAAGCCACCGUACGUGCCAAAACCACCGUAUACCCCAACUCCUAAGCCACCGUACGUCCCAUCGCCACCUUAUACCCCUCGCCCUAAACCACCGUAUGUACCAUCACCACCUUAUACCCCUAGCCCUAAACCACCGUAUGUGCCAUCACCACCAUAUACCCCAAGCCCUACCCCACCAUAUGUACCAUCACCACCGUAUACCCCAAGCCCACCAUAUGUACCAUCACCACCGUAUACCCCAAGCCCUAGCCCACCACCACCACCAAGUGGAACACCGUGUCCUCCGCCGCCGCCACCAAAGGUGAGACCGUACCCUCCACCACCAUCACAAACUUGUCCCAUUGAUACUCUCAAGCUUGGUGCAUGCGUCGACGUGUUGGGCGGUCUAAUACACAUCGGUAUAGGCAGCAGUGCAAAGGACGCUUGCUGCCCCGUGCUGCAGGGGCUACUGGACUUGGAUG